Molecule: ribosomal RNA, 374 nt
Filed under: uncultured prokaryote
Description: bacterial SSU rRNA
Rfam family: Bacterial small subunit ribosomal RNA
Source: RNAcentral
GACGAACCGUCCAAACGUUACUCGGAAUUACUGGGCUUAAAGGGCGCGUAGGCUGCGCGGAAAGUUGGAUGUGAAAUCCCUCAGCUCAACUGGGGAAUUGCAUUCAAAACUACCGUGCUCGAGGGAGACAGAGGUAAGCGGAAUUCAAGGUGGAGCGGUGAAAUGCGUUGAUAUCUUGAGGAACACCGGUGGCGAAAGCGGCUUACUGGGUCUCUUCUGACGCUGAGGCGCGAAAGCUAAGGUAGCAAACGGGAUUAGAUACCCCGGUAGUCUUAGCUGUAAACGAUGAGCACUUGUUUUAAGGGUCCUCCAUAGCCUUUCAGACGUAGCGAAAGUGUUAAGUGCUCCGCCUGGGGAGUAUGGUCGCAAGGUUG